UUAGCCAUUUUGGUUCAUCCCCGAGUCUUUGCCAUCUUCAAGAUUUCUGACCUCUUCCAUGGCGCAUGGGAUUCUAGGGUUUUCACUCUUCUUUCGGUAUUUUGCAUUUAUAUGCGACAUUGUUGACAUUACAUUUUCCUUUUUUAUUCUUCUUUCUUUUGCAUCUUCUCUGCUAUAUUGAUCGUCAUUAUUUGUAUAUAAUAGCUCUGCCAUUAUAUGUUUUUCUUUUGGCGGAGAACAAUAUUUUCUUUCUUUAUGGACAAGAUUUCUUCUCAUCUGAAACUUGGUGACUGGAAGCAGAGUAAUCUCUGCAAACCCAACCAACAGUUGCAUUCGGAGGCUUCUUCCUUUCUUCUUUCUAGUCUUCAAUGGAAAGAUUUGGAACCGCACUUCCAUUCCGCUCAAGCGAUGAUUCGGACGCAGUACCAGCAGCUUGAGCGACCGGGAGAAGGCCAUCGCGUUGAAAGAAUCACGGUUUGAUGAUGGAGAAAUCAUUACAAGCGCGCUCAGAGAAUGUCAAGAAAGAAGGAGUCUAUUUGGAAAUACGGACAGAGCAGGUCGAGAAAGAAUAUGAGAAAGGGAGGAUAUUCCUAAAGGAGAUUGAAUCUUUAAAAGCUGACAUGGGUUCAUAGAUGUUCUUGCUGGAAAAAGUUCGGGAAGAACUAAGAUUAAAGGGGAAACCACACAAGGUACCGGCUGACGAACUUGAGUCAAAAGAAAAAUAUAUUAGAGCUUUGAUGAACAAAUGUAAUGAAAAGGCUAAUAAAGAGGUGGAAUUGGAUUUAGCCCAAGAGAGAUUAGGAGUUUUGUCGAAGGAUAUUAAAUUGAAAGAAAACGAGUUUAAUAAAGUAUGCACUAGAUUCUUGGAUGUUGAGAAGGAGUUCGAGGAAAAGGAGAAGGUUUUUGAUCAGCUCAGCAUGGAUCCAAACGAGAAGAGAUUAUAUUUACAUCUAAACAAGAAGUUGACUGGACCGAAAUUGAUUACCAUGUGUAAUUUUAUUCAUUCUCAAACAGUCUUCAGACACCUGCAAAACUUUGAUUCAAGGUUCUUUUCACCAAUAGUUGAAGAAAGAACAGCUAGGCUUUCAAGAAAGUUUCUUGAGGUGGCCCACACUUCUAUUAUGACAAUUAAAGCUAAUCUCACCAAUUAUUGGUCGAGAGGAAAGAGAAGAUGCCAUGAAGCUUGCAGUUGACUGGAAAUUCAACAUGAGAAGUGAUACAAAUGGGUCUAUGGACGGAUGCUGUUGGCUUCUUGCAACUUCUACUUCUUUCAUAUGGAUUGCGAGGAUGAGCUUUUAAAGCACUUUGAGCACAUAGUGCUUCAUGAACAGGCAUUGGAAUUGUGCCUCUCAUGUUCGGGUAUAAGCAAAAGAUACAAGAAAUUGUACAAAAGCUUAUUGGAACAAAUCAAUUUAUUAAGGCUGUCAGGUCUAUAUGUGGAUAUAAGUUGGAAUGCUUUCGACAUGUACACAUUCUGAACGAAUAUUUACGAGAUGCUAAAAAUGCCAAGUAAAAGCCAGCAAGAAGAAGAAUACAGGUCAGGAAGAUGUACGUGCUGCCGUGCUUCACUUGAAGAGAUGAGAAGGUCGAAAUGCAACAAUCAUGGUCAACCAACUCAUUCGAUGACUCAGCAACCACAACUAUCUAAGGCCAAUUUCAAAGCACAACUAUCAAAUCCGACCAACGGUGAAAUGAAACCAUUGCAUUCAGAGCAACCCCGACAGCAGCAUCCUCUGCAGAAGAAACACAGAAAUACCCUUGACAGCCUCCUCCACUGUAUGCUCCUCUUUAAGAUCAAGCUCUUCAGUCUGCAAUUUUAUACUCUUUUCCAUCUUGUGUAAUUGUCUUUCUUUCCAUUUGUCAAUCAUAUCUCGAAUUGUCUCAAGCUCCUCUUUUUGUUCGAGUUCUCCAUUGCUCUCUUUAAUCGUCUGUACAAUCAUACUAAAAUCUGUAAACAGUAUAUAAACAUUCCUCAAGUUCUUUACUAUGUUCCUUAUACACGUUUUGAUGGAUUCUAAUUCUGAUUCAUGUGAUAACACAUGUCUUCAAAAAGAGCCUUCAACUUGCUCUCCAUUGCACCAAACUCCUCUUUAAGAUCAAGCUCUUUAGUCUGCACUUUUAUAGUCUUCUCUAUCUUGUCUAAUCUUCUCUCUUUCCACCUAGUGGCGAUCAUAUUUUGAAUUGUAUCGUGCUCCCUUUCUUUCAGUUUGCAUUCUCCAUUGCUCUCUUUAAUUGCCAUCUAGAUUGCAUCAUAUUGCUUCUCCUUGAUUGCAAGCUCUUCUUCAUGUUCUUGAAACAAUGCUCUUAUCGAUUCAACACUCUUCUGCUAGAACUCACAUUCCAUCGAUCGCUCUUCGGUUAACUACAUUAUGCCAUUUAAUUUUUGUUCUUUUAAUUCCAUCACAUGUUCACAGUGGUCAAUCCUCUUUCAAACCACAUCAAAAGCCCCUUCUCCUUUUCCUCAAACUCCUCACUUCUCAUGUUGAAUUUCCAGUCAACUGCAAGCUUCAUUGCAUAUUCUCUUUCCUUUGGACCAAUAAUGGGUGAGAUCUGCUCUAAUUGUCUUGAAAAGAAGUGUGGACCACCUCAAGAAACUUUCUUCCAGGCCCAGUUGUUCUUUCUUCAACUGUUGGUCAAAAGAACCUAAAAAUCAGAUUCAAGACAAGUUUUGCAGGGUCUGAAGACUGUUUUAAGAACGAAUAAAAUUAUACAUGGUAUCAAUUUCGGUCCAGUCAACUUCGUGUUCAGGUGGAAAUAUAAACCCUUCUCGUUUGGUUCCAUGCUAAGUUGAUCAAAAUCCUUCUCCUUUUUCGCGAAUUCAAUCUCAACGUCCAAGAAUCUCGUGCAUACUUUAUCAACCUCGUCUUCUUUCAAUUUAAUAUCUUUCGACAAAACUCCUAAUCUCUCUUGGGCUAAAUUCAAUUCCACCUCUUUAUUAACCUUUUCAUUAUAUUUGUUCAUCAAACCUCUGACUAGAUUGAUAUGUUUUUUUUUUUACUCAAGUUCGUUAGCCAAUACCUUGUGUUGUAUUUCCUUUAACCUUAGUUCUUCCCUGCCUUUUUCCAGCAGUAAUAUCUGUGAAUCCAUGUCAGCUUUUAAAGAUUCAAUCUCCUUUAGGAACGUCCUCCCUUUCUCAUAUUGUUUCUCGAGCUGCUCUCUUCGUCUUUCCAAAUAGACUUCUUCUUUCUUGACAUUCUCUGAGCGCGCUUGUAAUGAUUUCUCCGCAUCAUCAAACCACGAUUCCUUCAAUGCGAUGACUUUCUCCCAUUGCUCAAACUCUUGGUACUAGAUCCGAAUCAUCUCUUGAGCAGAAUGGAAGUGAGAUUCCAAAUCUUUACAUUGAAGACUAAAAAGAAGAAAGGAAGAAGCCUCCGAAUGCAACUGUUCAUGGGUUUGCAGAGAUUACUCUGCGUCCAGUCCCCAAGUUUCAAAUGAGAAGAAAUCUUCUCCAUCUGGGACAAGAUUCUCUUUGAAAAAAAAGAACAUAUAACACAACUAUUAAAUACAAAUAAUGGCCACCAAUAUGCCAGAGAAGAAGUAAAAAAAAGAACAAGAAUGAAGGUAACAGGAAACGUUAAUGUUAACUAUAUUGCUGUGAGUGUAAAACACAGUACUGAAACCGGGUGAAAAUCCUAGAAUCAUGACGUGGAAGAAGUUCAGAUAUCAGAAGAUGGAGAGUGAUGAAUAAAAAUGGCAAAUCCUGUGUUUGCUUUUCCCCUACCAAUCCCCAUAUAUAUAUACAAAAGAAGAAGCAAAGAAUUCCAAAUAAAUCAAGAAAAAUUAUCAUUAGUUAAUUAUUUAUCUUUUUUCUCUAGUUAACUGUUGUAUUGCGAUCAUAAAUGUUAGGAUGAAUUAUAAAAUUUAAAUUUAUCCGUUUAACUCUGAUAAUUUAGCAUUUUUUUUCACUUGGUGGCUUAAAAUUUAUAGGUUAAGAUAUGAUAUUGUAUCUAUAGUUUGGUUCCUACAUUUUAAUUCUCGAAGUUUGAGUACUUUCAAUGUUGUCAAGAAGUCGAUAAUUUAAAAAAAAAUCGAGCAAAAGGAUUUCUGUCAUCGGCUGUUGUGGAUAAAUUUGGACUAGAAAACAAAAUAGACGUUUCGAUAUGGAAUAUCAGACCAUAAUUUAAUUCUUAUGUUAAUUUUGUUAUAAUUUUAUAAUUUGUUAAUUUGAUGAUUAUCAACUUUUGUAGCUUGUUUUUACAUUUUUUUUCUAUUUAUUAAUUUUUAUGUGUGGUUUAGUUAGGAAAAUUGCAAAAAGAAAAAAAAAAUGUAAGUUUUUAAUUUCGUUUUAUUUUUAAAAUGUCUAUACCAUUUGGGUGUGAGCUACAUUUGGCAUUGUUUUAAAAAUUUCGAAACUAGCCAGUUAAAAAAAUUAGCUAUUUGAAGUAUUGGAUUAAAAAGAAGGAUGAAAAGAGUUAAGGAAGGCCCAAGAAGGAAAUGUAGCCCAUACCACCAGUCGAGUCGAGCCUAAAGAAACCCUAGGGUUUCAAUAGGUCUUUGGAGCCUUGGGGAGAUCAAAUUCCAAAUAGGAUCAAGGAAUGAGAAAGAUUAUAAAUAAAUCAUAAGAUAACUGACUUAAGCAUCGGAGCUCUUUUUUUUUUGUUUUGCAGGUCUUCUCUUGCUCAUACAAAUUUAUCCUUGAUGUGUCACAUGAACGCCGGGUGUAUCUUUCCUGUCCAAAAUAGGUCUUCGAGCCUUGGGGAGAUUUCGAUUCCAAAUAGGAUCAAGGAAUGAGAGAGAUUAUAAAUAGGUCAUACCAACACUAGAGGAGGUAAUUGAUAGUUCUGAUUUCUUUUCUACAUUAUAGUUCACACACUGACUUAGGUAUCAAUGCCAUUUUUCUUUGUUUUGUAGGUCUUUUCUUCCUCAAAUUACAAAAUUACAGGUGAUGUCACGUGAAGGCUAGGUGUAUCUUUCCUUUCCAAAAUUUGACAUCAACAAUUGAUGUUGUCGUGAGAAACAAAUUGUUAUAUUGAUAAUAUGCAUACUUUACAAGGCAGUUUCAACUUGUCGGACAACCCUCCACAUGAAGCAGUGGUAUAGACUAUGCCUAGGAGUCUGAGUCGAGGCUAAGGCGAUUAAUGUUAAGUUCGAGUUGAGGCCGAGGCGACCAAUAUCAAGUUCAAAUUGAGGAUGAUGUGAGCAAUAUUGAGGCCAAGAAGACCCAGUUGAAGUGAAAAGCAAAGGUCAAGACUACAGAGAUGGAGGAUUAGAAUAAAGAGUAAAGACCGAAGCUGAGGAGACCAAAUUGAAGCGAAGAGCAAAGACCGAGGCUGAUAAGACCAAGUUGAAGCAAAGAACAAAUGACUAAAAUAAAACAUUUCCUACAUAUCUGGGGAUAAAAAUAAUUGUUCAAUUUAAAAUAAACUUAAAAUCUUAAGGGUUAAAAGUGUAAUUCUUCCUAAAUUAACUUAUAAUAGACACACUUUUCUGGUAAGAAAAUGUAUAUUUUGAGAGAUUUAGUA
Molecule: long non-coding RNA, 5462 nt
Organism: Benincasa hispida (wax gourd)
Lineage: Eukaryota; Viridiplantae; Streptophyta; Magnoliopsida; Cucurbitales; Cucurbitaceae
Source: RefSeq, a predicted model, not a curated record